UGCUCCCCGUGUGCCAGAGUGACACAGCUCUGAGACAGAUCUAGAAACUUUGCUGGGAGAUGAUGCAGGGCAGGAAAACCACACAAGAUGUCAGGAAGGAGAACGAAGUGUUUCCAUCUUGGUCACUGGAGCUCCAUCUCAUGGUGUGUUUCAUGACCUCCUCCAUGGCUGCAGGAGGAAAUUCCCUGUGAGGGGAAGGCUCUUUCUGCACUGGUGAUUAUAGAGGGGGCUCAUUUCCCUGCUGGAGCUCAGGAGCAUCCCUUGGUGGGGUGGAACACGUUCCAGAAGCCCCCUGGAGAAGCAGCUUUUGUGCAGAGCUGAUGUCUCACUAGAGCAUCACCUCCAAGCCCUGGCACAGCUGGGACAGGACCUGUGGCACGGCUCUGGGGCUGCUCCUGAUGCCUCAGCUUUGGCUUUUAUAUUUUUCAGGUUCUGUGCUGCUUUAGUGUGUGGG
This 454-nucleotide long non-coding RNA is filed under the name Junco hyemalis (dark-eyed junco). RNAcentral describes it as "lncRNA (ENSJHYG00000000035.1)". The record is from RNAcentral. Lineage: Eukaryota; Metazoa; Chordata; Aves; Passeriformes; Passerellidae.